Molecule: unclassified non-coding RNA, 197 nt
Filed under: plant metagenome
Description: partial contains small subunit ribosomal RNA, internal transcribed spacer 1, and 5.8S ribosomal RNA
Source: RNAcentral
UCUCCGUUGGUGAACCAGCGGAGGGAUCAUUACCGAGUGCAAACUCAUAACCCUUUGUGAACCUAUAUCUGUUGCUUCGGCGGCUCGCUCUCGGGCGGGCCCGCCGGUAAUAUCAGUAUCUCUGUUUGAACCCGACGAUACUUCUGAGUGUUCUUAGCGAACAGUUAAAACUUUUAACAACGGAUCUCUUGGCUCUA